Molecule: ribosomal RNA, 561 nt
Filed under: uncultured beta proteobacterium
Lineage: Bacteria; Pseudomonadati; Pseudomonadota; Betaproteobacteria
Description: bacterial SSU rRNA
Rfam family: Bacterial small subunit ribosomal RNA
Source: RNAcentral
AGGCAGCAGUGGGGAAUUUUGGACAAUGGGGGCAACCCUGAUCCAGCCAUGCCGCGUGCGGGAAGAAGGCCUUCGGGUUGUAAACCGCUUUUGUCGGGGAAGAAAAGGUMCGSGYUAAUACCGCGGASUAAUGACGGUACCUGAAGAAUAAGCACCGGCUAACUACGUGCCAGCAGCCGCGGUAAUACGUAGGGUGCAAGCGUUAAUCGGAAUUACUGGGCGUAAAGCGUGCGCAGGCGGCUUUGCAAGACAGAUGUGAAAUCCCCGGGCUUAACCUGGGAACUGCAUUUGUGACUGCAUGGCUGGAGUGCGGCAGAGGGGGAUGGAAUUCCGCGUGUAGCAGUGAAAUGCGUAGAUAUGCGGAGGAACACCGAUGGCGAAGGCAAUCCCCUGGGCCUGCACUGACGCUCAUGCACGAAAGCGUGGGGAGCAAACAGGAUUAGAUACCCUGGUAGUCCACGCCCUAAACGAUGUCAACUGGUUGUUGGACGGCUUGCUGUUCAGUAACGAAGCUAACGCGUGAASUUGACCGCCUGGGGAGUACGGCCGCAAGGUUGAAAC